GCCAGGCAUGGUGGCGCGUGCCUGGAAUCCCAGCUACUUGGGCUGAUUCAGGAGAAUUGCUUGAACCCAGGAGGCAGAGGUUGCGGUGAGCUGAGAUUGUGCCAUUGCACGCCACCCUGGGCAACAAGAGCGAAACUCCAUCUCAAAAGAAAAAAAAAAUUGUUCCUUCUCCCGGGAGUUUAGGAACAGCAGGUUACCUAAGGAGGGGUGAAGGGAGGUCUCCAGGUCGGAAACGGAGCAGGUCAAAACUCCCAUGCUGAUCAGUAGUGGGAUUGUGCCAGUGAAUAACCACUGCUGUCCAGCAUUGGCAACAUAGUGAGACCCUAUCUCUU
Unclassified non-coding RNA from Macaca fascicularis (crab-eating macaque), 332 nucleotides. It matches the Rfam family "Metazoan signal recognition particle RNA". From Rfam's summary of the family: The signal recognition particle (SRP) is a universally conserved ribonucleoprotein. It is involved in the co-translational targeting of proteins to membranes. The eukaryotic SRP consists of a 300-nucleotide 7S RNA and six proteins: SRPs 72, 68, 54, 19, 14, and 9. Lineage: Eukaryota; Metazoa; Chordata; Mammalia; Primates; Cercopithecidae. The record is from Ensembl.